This 496-nucleotide ribosomal RNA is filed under the name uncultured bacterium. RNAcentral's name for it is "partial 16S ribosomal RNA". It matches the Rfam family "Bacterial small subunit ribosomal RNA", at positions 28 to 506 of the family's 1533-position model. The record is from RNAcentral.
GAUGAACGCUGGCGGCGUGCCUAAUACAUGCAAGUCGAGCGAACAGACGAGGAGCUUGCUCCUCUGACGUUAGCGGCGGACGGGUGAGUAACACGUGGAUAACCUACCUAUAAGACUGGGAUAACUUCGGGAAACCGGAGCUAAUACCGGAUAACAUGAUCAACCGCAUGGUUCAACAGUGAAAGACGGUCUUGCUGUCACUUAUAGAUGGAUCCGCGCCGCAUUAGCGAGUUGGUAAGGUAACGGCUAACCAAGGCAACGAUGCGUAGCCGACCGGAGGGUGUGCUCGGCAAACCUGGACCUGAACCACGUCCCAGACUCCACGGGGAGGCAGAGGGGGGAAUUUUGCCCAAAUGGGCGAAAGCCUGACGGAGCAACGCCGCGUGAGUGAAGAGGGUCUUCGGUUCGUAAAACUCUGUUAUUAGGAAAGAACAAAUGUGUAAGUAACUAUGCACGUCUUGACGGUCCCUAAUCAGAAGACCCCGGCUAACUCCGU